AUUGAACGCUGGCGGCAGGCCUAACACAUGCAAGUCGAGCGGAUGAAGGGAGCUUGCUCCUGGAUUCAGCGGCGGACGGGUGAGUAAUGCCUAGGAAUCUGCCUGGUAGUGGGGGAUAACGUCCGGAAACGGGCGCUAAUACCGCAUACGUCCUGAGGAGAAAGGUGGGGAUCUUUGGAACCCCCCCCAACAGAAGAGCCUAGGUCGGAUUAGCUAGUUGGUGGGGUAAAGGCCUACCAAGGCGACGAUUCGGUACUGGUCUGAGAGGAUGAUCAGUCACACUGGAACUGAGACACGGUCCAGACUCCUACGGGAGGCAGCAGUGGGGAAUAUUGGACAAAGGGCGAAAGCCUGAUCCAGCCAUGCCGCGUGUGUGAAGAAGGUCUUCGGAUUGUAAAGCACUUUAAGUUGGGAGGAAGGGCAGUAAGUUAAUACCUUGCUGUUUUGACGUUACCAACAGAAUAAGCACCGGCUAACUUCGUG
RNAcentral lists this ribosomal RNA (483 nucleotides) under uncultured bacterium. Its description in RNAcentral is "partial 16S ribosomal RNA". It matches the Rfam family "Bacterial small subunit ribosomal RNA", at positions 30 to 507 of the family's 1533-position model. The record is from RNAcentral.